AUGUGCAUAUACGCUGACGACGUUAUCCUUUUUUUGAAGGCAAAAAGUGAGGAAGUUGUUGCAACUAAACUGCUGCUGAAUAUUUUCAGUUGUUCAUCAGGACUUCGAUGCAAUCCUAGCAAGAGCUCGUUGUCCUCUAUAUUCUGUGAGGAAGACCAGAUUGAAGCCUUCGGUAACAUCCUUAAUUGGAAGGUUGAAAAGUUGCCUAUUAGCUAUCUGGGGCUGCCCUUGAGUCUCAAGAAACUCUGCAAAGAAGAUUUCCAGUGUCUCAUUGACAAGCUUAGGAGCAGGUUGGGUCCUUGGCGCAUUGGCUUUCUCCAGCUGAGUGGUCGUUUGAUACUUGUUCAGGCAGUUCUAUCAGCAAUUUCAAUAUUCCACUUAAUGUCCCUAGACCCCCCGCCGUGGGUGUUUAAGGCGAUUGAUAAAAUAUGCAGAGCCUUCUUAUGGAGAGGAACUGAUGCUGUUAAUGGAGGACAAUGUUUGGUCAGUUGGAAGCAAAUCCGCCGUCCUAAGGAAAUCGUGGGUUUAGGUGUGUUGGACCUUGAGAUUAUGAAUUUGGCUCUUCGGCUGCGUUGGGCAUGGAAGGCAAGAUCCGCGGAGAGUCGUGCUUGGAACAUCUUGUUGGAUCCCUUGGAAAAGCCAGAGAGGCAACUUUUCAAUGCGGCAGCGUGGGUUCAGUUAGGGGAUGGGUCUAGAUGUUUCUUCUGGACCGAUAGAUGGGUUCACGGAGCGGUCAUGGAGGAGCUCGCACCUGACGUGUUUCAGGCAAUUCCGACGGUUGUUAGAACUAGAAGAACAGUGGCCGAAGCCAUGAUUAAUGGAGCAUGGAUUACAGAUAUUAAGGGACAAAUUACCAUUAGCACAUUCCACCAGUUUUUGGCUUUGUGGGAGAUCAUUUCAGAAGUUCACUUGGUGCAAGGAAUGGAGGAUAAGUGGACUUGGACUUGGGAUUCCAAGGGUGAGUUCACGACGAAAUCAGUCUACAUGGCUUACUUGAGCACCUCGACUGUUUAUAGCACGACCUGCACAAUUUGGAAAUCUUGGGCGCAUGCAAGCUUUUCCUCUGGUUGGUCGUCAAAGGUCGUGUAUGGACGGCUGAUCGCCUGGCUAAGCGUGGACUUCCACACCAUGACCUUUGCUGCUUCUGUAAUGCGGUUCAGGAAACUGCACACCAUUUGUUCUGGUGCUGCAGUGUAA
Molecule: ribosomal RNA, 1197 nt
Filed under: Triticum aestivum (bread wheat)
Lineage: Eukaryota; Viridiplantae; Streptophyta; Magnoliopsida; Poales; Poaceae
Description: partial small subunit ribosomal RNA
Source: RNAcentral